UUUGAGUGUCGGCUAACAUAAUUUUCAUGCCAUAUAUGUUAUUAUUACAAGUCAAAAAAUGAAAUGACUGUGAACUUAGUCAACAACUGACAAUCGAAAAUUUUAACAAUCGAUAUCUCAGCGAGGAAAUCGAUUUUGACAAAUUAAAAGCAUUUACUGUUGUUCGUUUAUUAAAUUCUU
Long non-coding RNA from Cotesia glomerata, 180 nucleotides. RefSeq lists it as uncharacterized. The transcript is spliced from 3 exons. NCBI's taxonomy places the organism in Eukaryota, Metazoa, Arthropoda, Insecta, Hymenoptera, Braconidae. The record is from RefSeq and is a predicted model, not a curated record.